This 2958-nucleotide long non-coding RNA is filed under the name Mus musculus (house mouse). RNAcentral's name for it is "long non-coding RNA chr6:50200161-50203119". Lineage: Eukaryota; Metazoa; Chordata; Mammalia; Rodentia; Muridae. The record is from RNAcentral.
UUUUUUUUUUUUGGUGGGGAGGGAGCAGCAAAGUGUUAACAAAGUGGACCAUACACUUAAUAACUUUGUAAACUACAUGUAUUUGCUAAAACUCAUGGAUUCUCAUUGUAACAUGAGUCAGAGCACAAUAUUUGCAUGACACCUUGUAACUUAGUGUUUCAGCACACUGUAAUGUAAGCUUGCAGAGAAAGUUCAGUUCUGUGCUCACAGGAAAUGUUCCAUAUUCCCCAGUGUACCUUCAUGCUGUCUUAUGAAGCCUUUCUCAGCUGCUUUGGAAAAAUUUUAUCAGCAGAGCAGUCUAUCCACUCAGUAUUUCUACCAUCUGGGUCCAACAGAAACAAUAGCUACAUAUCUUUCUCAUGUUAAAUAUAAAAAUGCAUAAUGUCUAGAGUAUCAUCUGUAUUUAACAUUGUUUCUGUUAUAAAUGGUACUCAUGAGCCAUCAACAUAGCUACAUUAGAUUUCUCCUAAUGGAAUGAUAGUUUUGCUCACUAUAAUAUAAAUGCCAAUAUUAAGAAAAUACAACUGUUUCUCAGUGAAAAAUCACCAAAUUUGAAACUCAAGUUCCCAUCUGAGUCUAUAGAAACCAUCAGGCCUGACAAAAAGAUUCUUCCUAGAUGACAUGAUCAAGGAAAUUUAUACUUCUCUCAUGGGGAGAGUCUAACAUAACAGACUCAUUUAUAAUAGCUUUACUGAAGAUGAAAGGGCAUACAGUGGUGUUCAAUAAUUGGUACUAUGUAAAAAAAUGUACACACACAUGCAUGAGCUUUGGGAAGACACACGUGUAUCCAUAAGUAUACUAAAAGAUGAGUGUCCAUAUUCAGCGUUGAGGGCAUGGUUAUUUCUUUAUAACUAAUGGUUACAUGUAUUAUUUCAUUUUCAAAUGUGCAAAUGCCUGUAGAAAUGAUGUCUCUGAACAAGUCAUUUAACCUUAGGCAAUGGAGUAUAUUUACUGCCCUACAGUAGAGUUUUCACCUUCAGUCUUACAGUGCUUUUACUGUACAGUCUCCAUUUCUGUUUUUUAGUUAAUAUCUGAUGUCAAAUACAGCAAAAGUGUUUGUUUUUGUCUGACUUGAUAUAAUUGCUGACCAUAGCUUUCUGAAAUAGAUAUCAUCAUAAACCAAAUAGGACUAAGCCCUAGAUUCCAGAGUCUGGUAAUUUAUAAUAAGUUUAAAACACUUCUUUUAAAAUGACAAAUUGAUUAUUAAAACUUAUUUAGAAAAUAGCUCAAGAUAGCAGUAAAAUCCAGUAGUAGGACGUUGAUUAUGGCCAGGUACUAACCUGGCCAAAAUGCUGAUGAUGCCAGGCCUAGUAGUGCAGGCACCUAGGAGGCCGACGGAGGAGGAGAGCAAGCUGGAGUCUAGCCUGGGUAACAUAGCAAGACCCCGGCUCAAAACAAAACAGAACAGGGCCCAGGGCUAUUGUUGUCAGAGUAUGUACCUAGCACAUAUGAGAUCCGGGCAACACAAGAAAUGAUCCUAACUCCAAAACAAUACUUAGUUUUAUAUAUAUCAAGUAUCAUGAUUCAGUGAUUGAGCUUAGCUGUCAAGGCCACAGAAUUAGUUAUAAUUAUUUUAAAUGAGUAAAUUGAAAAUGUAGAGAGUUUGAAACAGUUCUCCAUUAUACAGAAUUACAGAGUUGAGGGUCCUACCUCCAUAGCAACUAAUCUUUACACUAAAUAAGGAAAAGGCAGUUCUGAAGUAUGUGUACAUAAAUAGUUCAUUUUGUAAAAACGUGUGUGUAUGGAUAUCCAUACACACACACACAAAGCUACAUGUAUAAUACGUAGCAUUCUUCCAAAAUUUAUGAAUAAUAAAGCUAGAUAUAUUUGCCCACAUGUUACAGCUAGUAUUCUAAGAUCUUUGAUUACUUUCAGAUUUGUAGAUAUUCUGGCCCUAUAUGAGGUUCUCUUAAGAGGCUUUGGCUCCACCUUGGAGCUGACACUAAUUCCCUUUCUGAAUAUUCUGUUUAUUAGAGAAACUAAGUUCAGAAAAUUGUUACUUACUAUUAGAAUUUAAUUUUCUUUUUAACAAAAAACAGAUUUUUGCAUGGAGGCCUCUUGGGAAAUAUUUCCUUAAAUUUUCCAGUGAAAAAUUUUUGAUAUGAUUUAGACUUAAAGAUUACAGUGCCUGCCCUCCUCUUGUUCCAAGGGAUUUGCUGUGAGAAUUCUUAUAACAUCUGUAAUGUAUUUGGAGUUCUUGGGAGAAAUUUAGUAUUUUAAAUAAUGAGAUUAUUGUAUAUAACUGAAUAUACACAGAUUUUUUAAGAAUACAUUUGAUGAAAAAUUCAGCAUCAUAUUGGUCUUUCUGUAAGUAUAUGUGAUAUACCUGAAGAAGAUGAUAAUUCUCUAAUUGUUUAAGGUAAGGUUAUUUUUAAAUUGUAUUUUUGUUUUAGCUUUUAAAGUUAUAUUCUUUUAAAAAUAUUUAUCAUAUUUCCAUCUUACUACUUUGAAUCCUGGAGUAACUUUUGAAAAACUCAAAGAAUUAACACAUCCUUAGUGGACUAAAAAAUGAGAGACUAGCCGGGUGCAAGUGGCACACACCUUUAUCCGAGCACUUGGGAGGCAGAGGAGGUGGGUCUCUGAGUUCAAGGCCAGCCUGGUCUACAGAUCAGGUUCUGGGGUAGCCGGAACUGUUGCACAGAGAAACUCCGUCUUUGGAGAGAAAAGUGCGAUCAUGAUGCUUUUCUAAGGUAAGCACGGUGGGUUUGUACCACUUGGGCAAACACUACAAGAAUGUCUUAAAAGUCAUCUUGUGUGAUAAGAGUAAAAGUGGUUUCUCUGCUUCUGAUGACCAGCAUCCCACUGCUGGCUGAUUUAAUAACAUUUACUCUCCCUUUACCUUCUGUAUGUUAAGUAGGGCUAAGGUAAGACUUGUCUUCAUCUUAAACUCUGAGGAGGAACUGAUUGUGCUUCGAUGAUAAGGCUUUGAGACUACUUAUUAAAUGUGUUCUCUUACCC